CUACGGGUGGCUCCAGUGAGGAAUAUUGCACAAUGGAGGAAACUCUGAUGCAGCAACGCCGCGUGGAGGAUGACGCAUUUCGGUGUGUAAACUCCUUUUAUAUGUCAAGAAAAUGACGGUAGCAUAUGAAUAAGCUCCGGCUAACUCCGUGCCAGCAGCCGCGGUAAUACGGAGGGAGCAAGCGUUACUCGGAAUCACUGGGCGUAAAGGACGCGUAGGCGGGAUAGAAAGUCAGGUGUGAAAUCCUAUGGCUCAACCAUAGAACUGCACUUGAAACUUCUAACCUAGAGUAUGGGAGGGGAAGAUGGAAUUAGUGGUGUAGGGGUAAAAUCCGUAGAUAUCACUAGGAAUACCAAAAGCGAAGGCGAUCUUCUGGAACAAUACUGACGCUGAGGCGUGAAAGCGUGGGGAGCAAACAGGAUUAGAUACCCUAAUAGUC
This 439-nucleotide ribosomal RNA is filed under the name uncultured bacterium. RNAcentral's name for it is "partial 16S ribosomal RNA". It matches the Rfam family "Bacterial small subunit ribosomal RNA", at positions 339 to 795 of the family's 1533-position model. The record is from RNAcentral.